RNA transcript from Mus musculus (house mouse), 3912 nucleotides. It is a transcript of the gene named phosphatidylinositol glycan anchor biosynthesis, class Q, with no coding region annotated. Lineage: Eukaryota; Metazoa; Chordata; Mammalia; Rodentia; Muridae. The transcript has 11 exons. The record is from RefSeq and is marked validated.
UCUACUGGACACUCCCUGUUUUGAAAGAUACCUUCAGUUUUCCCUUCAAUCCAGGUCCAAACCACUUUUGAGCACUUAGGUGGGGUGCUGGGACGGUUCUGGGUAGCACAGGUUCUUUCAUACCCUUCCAUUCAAGACAGGAAAACAGUAGCCUUUCCUCCCAUGUUACAGAUGAGAUCUGGAAGGGGAGGGGUGUGUGUGUGUGUGUGUGUGUGUGUGUGUGUGUGUGUGUGUGUUUGAAGAGCUUACUCAUUGAGAAUCUGGUCUCACCCAUGUUCUUCAUGUGGGAAGAAGCAAGAAAAAGCUCCUUGCUUUUGCUCCUUUAGGGUGUGGGGUGGCACCCAGCCUGUCAUCUGGACGUUGAGGUCAACACACAUGUCACUCCUGCAGGCUAAAUCAAUAUGCCCUGUUCAUUAUGUUGUGGGGGAUUAAUGGACAAUGAAAGAAACUUUGCUUGUAAGUAGAUGCUCAAUAAACACUAGUUACUGCGUUGUUAGGGGUAUUGCUUUCAGACUAUGCGGCCCACACGGGUCUGCAUGCACCCUACUCGCAAUGGAUAGAAACAGAUGGAAGGGCCUGGGUUUAGGAGGCCAGGCGGUAAGAACAAAGCGGCUACCAUGGUCCUCAAAGGCUGGAUCCACCGGACCUUUCAGGAUAUUUACAGCGAGGGUAGCUUUGAUGACAGGAGCCGCGCGCGCGGAACUCUCGGGCUCAGGCGAUGGACAGCCCGGGCAUGUUUGGGGACCGGACCGUCGCGCGACAACGCCGCGGAGCCGGCGGAAAUGGUGCUGAUGUCCCGCGGCGGGCCUGGGAGCCGCAAGCACGGUCGUCCUCCCGGGCCCGCCGAACGCAGUGCCCAACCCAGUUCCUUCCCUACCGCUCGGGGACGCGGCCCCGGGGACCAGCUGGGCCCCCAGCAUGGUGCUCAAGGUCUUCUUCCCCACGUGCUGUGCCUCGGCAGACAGUGGCCUGUUAGUGGGACGAUGGGUUCCAGGACAGAGCAGUGCUGUGAUCCUGGCCGUGGUGCACUUUCCCUUCAUCCCCAUCCAAGUCAAGGAGCUCCUGGCCCAGGUGCAGAAGGCCAGUCAAGUACCAGUGGCUGUGCUAGGGACCUGGUGCCACCGUCAGCAGGAACCGCAGGAGAGCCUGGGGAAUUUCCUGGAGGGCCUGGGCACCAUCUUCUCCCAUGACCCCUGGUUGCAGCUCUGCCGGGAGAGGGGUACCAGACUCUGGAGCUGCAAGGCCACUUACCCGCAGAUGUCUAACCCUCUGGACAUGCACCCCGAAGAGCAGGUCAUGCUCAUCUUCUAUGAUCAGCGCAAGCUGCUGCUCUCCUGGUUGCAUCCGCCUCCAGUCCUGCCUGCCUGCCAGAUGGGAGACACCACAGCCAGCACCGGAGGCCUAGCUGACAUCUUUGACACAGUGGCACGCAGCGAGGUGCUCUUCCGAAAUGACCAAUUUGAUGAGAGACCCGUACGCCUGAGCCACUGGCAAUCAGAGGGAGUGGAGGCCAGCAUACUUGUGGAGUUGGCAAAGCGGGCCUCUGGGCCUGUCUGCCUGCUGCUGGCUUCUCUGUUGUCCCUGAUCUCAGCAGCUAGUGCUUGCCGGCUAUGGAAGCUGUGGCCACUUUCCUUCAUCAGAAGCAAGCUCUCCACUUGUGAGCAGCUCCAUCACCGGCUGAAGCACCUCUCCUUCAUCUUCAGCACGGAGAAAGCCCAGAAUCCCAUGCAGCUGAUGAGGAAGGCCAACAUGCUGGUUUCUGUGCUACUGGAUGUGGCCCUUGGCUUGCUGCUGCUCUCUUGGCUCCACAGCAAUAACCGAAUUGGACAGCUGGCCAAUGCCCUGGUCCCUGUGGCUGAUAGUCAAAGCAGUGUCUCCGUGGAAGUCUUGUGGGCUCUCUUCUGCUCCGUCAGUGCGGAUGCCUGCUGGGUCUGUUUGUUGCCAGGCCAGGAAUCUGGGGCAGCAGUGGGCUCCUCUCAGCUUUGUGAGAUCUGUGGAGGUCAUCCCAGUAGGAAAGAGGAGCUGGAGCUGGGUGAACGGCGCGUGGCUGAGGAGCUCCAGCAUCUGCUGCAGUGGCUGAUGGGUGCUCCUGCUGGGCUCAAGAUGAAUCGGGCACUGGAUCAGGUGCUAGGCCGCUUUUUCCUGUACCACAUCCAUCUGUGGAUAAGCUAUAUCCACCUUAUGUCCCCCUUUAUUGAGCAUAUCCUGUGGCAUGUGGGACUCUCAGCCUGCCUUGGACUGACUGUUGCUCUGUCCAUCUUUUCGGAUAUCAUCGCCCUUCUCACCUUCCACAUCUAUUGCUUCUAUGUCUACGGUGCCAGCUCUUCAUUGGGACCUUGCUCUUCACCAUCCUGGUCUUCUUGCUACCCACCACCGCUCUGUACUACCUGGUAUUCACCCUGCUCCGGCUCCUGGUGAUCACUGUGCAAGGCUUAAUCCAUCUACUUGUAGACCUCAUCAAUUCCCUGCCACUAUACUCCCUUGGCCUUCGACUCUGCCGACCCUACAGGCUGGCAGCUGGUGUGAAGUUCAGAGUUCUGGAAAAGGAGGCAGGCAGACCCCUCCGCCUCCUGAUGCAGAUAAACCCCCUGUCCUAUAACCAUGUGAUGCACAUCUACCGUCUGCCUCGCUGUGGCUGCCAUCCCAAGCACUCCUGGGGUACCCUGUGCCGAAAGCUGGUCUUCGGAGAGCUCAUCUACCCCUGGAGGCAGAGAGAGGACAAACAGGACUGAGGAGCUGGACACAGCCUACCCAUAGCUACUGCACAACCAUCACGCCUCCUCUCUGCCAGGACAGCACUGACCACGGGGUCAUCUCAGGUCCCACAAGGGCCAACCAAACACUCUGUGUGCUGAAUGUAGGCAGGCCUUACCCUUGAGUUACUACUUUGCUCUCGGACCCUGCCAGCUUCAGUCCUGCACUCUAUCUAGCACAGUGGUUCUCAACCGUCCCAAAGCUGACCCUUUAAUACAGUUCCUCAUGUUGUGGUGACCCCAACCAUAAAAUUAUAUUCAUUACUACUUCAUUACUGUUAAUUUUGCUACUGCUAUGAAUCAUGAUAUAAUAUAAAUAUCUGUGUUUUCUGACAGUCAUAGGUGAACCCUGUGAAAGUGUCAUAUGACACCCACCCCAAAGGGUUGAGAACCACUGCUCUAGUAUCACCUAUGUAGGGACCCACAUGGUUUUUGUAGUCAUUACAGUGAGCCUGAUUCCUAGGAGUUCCCGGACCCCGUGGGAUAUGCUGGCAGGUGCUCUUGGCUGCUUUAUUGGGUGGGAGCACUCCUGGGCACCUGGUGUACUUCAUAAGCCUCCGCAGAACAUUUCCAUUGGGAAACAGGCAGCUGCUGAUCCCUUAGCCCCUCGAACUAAUCCCUCACCCUGUACUUCAUUGGGCUUACUUGCUACUCUGGAGAUUGCUUUGUGAAGUUGCUGUUAAUAGGCCUUUGGGUACCCUUUGCUUGAAGUUAUAUCAACUGAGGUGAUUGGAUACCUGCCAACCUGGCUAGUGCUCCAUGUAUGAAUAGGCCCUUUGGCAAAAUAUUCUAUGUUCUCUUAUAGACUCCUUAUGGGACCAGAUAGCUUCCUUCUGGACAGGCACUUCAUGGCUCAUUGUGUGAAUGAUCUUGGGGUGGUGAAAUGGCCAGGGUUGGUUCCCUAACACUUAGUGGGACCCCAUGUGAGCUAGUCCCUAGGGGGCAGGAAACCUCACUGCCUGAAUUGUCUACUGUGGGCAGGAGGGGACAGCCGGCCCAGCCUGUCUUUCAGGGGCACUUGGGACUAUUGACAUUGGUCUGUCUGUGCCUGCUUCCUCUUGCUAUAGGUCACAGCCACUCUUAAGCAGCCAGUGGAGGGUUUUGGUGAAGAUGAAUCCUGAUCCUGUGAUGACAAUAAAAAUCUCAUGAAUCUGGAGUA